CUUAGCGGCGAACGGGUGAGUAACACGUAAAGAACCUGCCUCAUAGACGGGGACAACUAUUGGAAACGAUAGCUAAUACCGGAUAACAGCAUAAAUCGCAUGAUAUAUGUUUAAAAGUUGGUUUCGGCUAACACUAUGAGAUGGCUUUGCGGUGCAUUAGCUAGUUGGUGGGGUAAAGGCCUACCAAGGCGACGAUGCAUAGCCGACCUGAGAGGGUGAUCGGCCACACUGGGACUGAGACACGGCCCAGACUCCUACGGGAGGCAGCAGUAGGGAAUCUUCCGCAAUGGGCGAGAGCCUGACGGAGCAACGCCGCGUGAGUGAAGAAGGAUUUCGGUUCGUAAAGCUCUGUUGUUAGGGAAGAAUGAUUGUAUAGUAACUAUAUACAGUAGAGACGGUACCUAACCAGAAAGCCACGGCUAACUAUGUGCCAGCAGCCGCGGUAAUACGUAGGUGGCAAGCGUUGUCCGGAAUUAUUGGGCGUAAAGCGCGCGCAGGUGGUUUAAUAGGUCUGAUGUGAAAGCCCACGGCUCAACCGUGGAGGGUCAUUGGAAACUGUUAAACUUGAGUGCAGGAGAG
Molecule: ribosomal RNA, 579 nt
Filed under: uncultured Bacilli bacterium
Lineage: Bacteria; Bacillati; Bacillota; Bacilli
Description: bacterial SSU rRNA
Rfam family: Bacterial small subunit ribosomal RNA
Source: RNAcentral